This 745-nucleotide ribosomal RNA is filed under the name uncultured Staphylococcus sp. RNAcentral describes it as "bacterial SSU rRNA". It matches the Rfam family "Bacterial small subunit ribosomal RNA", at positions 53 to 781 of the family's 1533-position model. The record is from RNAcentral. Lineage: Bacteria; Bacillati; Bacillota; Bacilli; Caryophanales; Staphylococcaceae.
ACAUGCAAGUCGAGCGAACGGACGAGAAGCUUGCCUCUCUGAUGUUAGCGGCGGACGGGUGAGUAACACGUGGAUAACCUACCUAUAAGACUGGGAUAACUUCGGGAAACCGGAGCUAAUACCGGAUGAUAUUUUGAACCGCAUGGUUCAAAAGUGAGAGACGGUCUUGCUGUCACUUAUAGAUGGAUCCGCGCUGCAUUAGCUAGUUGGUAAGGUAACGGCUUACCAAGGCAACGAUGCAUAGCCGACCUGAGAGGGUGAUCGGCCACACUGGAACUGAGACACGGUCCAGACUCCUACGGGAGGCAGCAGUAGGGAAUCUUCCGCAAUGGGCGAAAGCCUGACGGAGCAACGCCGCGUGAGUGAUGAAGGUCUUCGGAUCGUAAAACUCUGUUAUUAGGGAAGAACAUAUGUGUAAGUAACUGUGCACAUCUUGACGGUACCUAAUCAGAAAGCCACGGCUAACUACGUGCCAGCAGCCGCGGUAAUACGUAGGUGGCAAGCGUUAUCCGGAAUUAUUGGGCGUAAAGCGCGCGUAGGCGGUUUUUUAAGUCUGAUGUGAAAGCCCACGGCUCAACCGUGGAGGGUCAUGGAAAUUGGAAAACUUGAGUGCAGAAGAGGAAAGUGGAAUUCCAUGUGUAGCGGUGAAAUGCGCAGAGAUAUGGAGGAACACCAGUGGCGAAGGCGACUUUCUGGUCUGUAACUGACGCUGAUGUGCGAAAGCGUGGGGAUCAAACAGGAUUAG